RNAcentral lists this ribosomal RNA (274 nucleotides) under uncultured bacterium. RNAcentral's name for it is "partial 16S ribosomal RNA". It matches the Rfam family "Bacterial small subunit ribosomal RNA", at positions 523 to 796 of the family's 1533-position model. The record is from RNAcentral.
AUACGGAGGGUGCAAGCGUUAUCCGGAAUCAUUGGGUUUAAAGGGUCCGUAGGCGGACUAUUAAGUCAGAGGUGAAAUCCCACAGCUCAACUGUGGAACUGCCUUUGAUACUGGUAGUCUUGAGUUAUAUGGAAGUAGAUAGAAUGUGUAGUGUAGCGGUGAAAUGCAUAGAUAUUACACAGAAUACCGAUUGCGAAGGCAGUCUACUACGUAUAUACUGACGCUAAGGGGCGAAAGCGUGGGGAGCGAACAGGAUUAGAAACCCCAGUAGUCC